Molecule: long non-coding RNA, 1461 nt
Filed under: Anolis carolinensis (green anole)
Lineage: Eukaryota; Metazoa; Chordata; Lepidosauria; Squamata; Anolidae
Description: lncRNA (ENSACAG00000033362.2)
Source: RNAcentral
GACAAUUUCUGUAUUUAAAGUGGAAGAGGGAGCCAUCUUGUUCUUCAUUACAUUAUCCUUGGGCCAGGCCCGUAGCCAGGAUUUUGGUUUGGGAGGGGCUGGGUGUUGUCAUGAAUACUUUUUGAACCUUAAAAUGUUUUUUUUUAAUCCACUUUCAGUCAGACAGAGUACAUCAGGCACUUUCAAAGAAAGAAAUAAGACACACAGACCCCAGUACUGGUUUUAUAAUAGCUAGCUAUAUUGGUUAUACAGACAAAUGGGAAGCAUCACACAUAUACUUAGCAUUCACUCACAUACAUUCAGAGACGGUUCACCCGUAAGGCAAUCUAGUCAUUUGCCUGGAGCGCCAACACUUGGGGGGCACACAUGAGGCGCCUCCAAGUGCCCUAAAGCCAACUUUUUGUUGGCGCGCGCUGCCGCUUCCGGCGGGAGGCUGUGGCUACUCCCCGUAGCCAAAAGCAUAGCACCGGCUCUCUGCUCGCAGGGGAAAGAGGAUUCUUCCUCCUCCUCUUCCCCUUUCUUGGGGAAAGUGCGGGCAGUGGAAGGAGAAGUGGUGCGUUAGGGAAGCCAGGCAGGAAGAAGGGCAAGUGGCUGUUCCUCCCUCCCUCCCUCCCUCCCUUCCUCUCUCUCUGUAGGUCUCUCUCUCUCUCUAUCCAUGAUGCCGCCAUUCCUUCCCCCUCCUGCCUUGUCUUCCUCCCCACCUCCAUGCCCACCUUUCCUGCCAUCAAAACGGAGAGUAAGGGGGAUCGCAUUCCUCUUCGAAUGGCUGCUGUUCGCGGGGGGGGGGGGGGGCUUUCUCUUUAUGCUGGUCUCCUUCCCUUCAUCUAAAAAAACCCCUCUCUUCCUUCUCUUGUGCACCUUGAUAUCUUGGGUUAUAUGGCACACAGUCAUAUAACCCAGAAUAUCAAGGCAGAUAAUCACAUUAUCUGCUUUGAACUGGAUUAUAUAGAAGUGUGCACUCAGAAAACCCAGUUCAAAGCCAUGAGGAAAGUCUCCUCCAAGGGAGGAGAGAGAAAAAGAUAUCCAACCUGCUGGGGAGAGGACUUUUCCGUCCCUUUCAAAGUUCAUAGGCAUUGUGUUUCCUCAAGCUUGCCUUUCCUCCUUUCCUCCCCUGCAGUUCUGGCUCUUUCUCUUGUUUUCCUUGAAAGAAAAAUGGAGGGUUCUAUCUUCUUGCAAAAGGAGAAAGGGAGGAAAGGGUCCGUGAGUGCAGGAUCGGGGGGGGGGGGGGCUGACAUGUUUCCAGGGCUCCAAACUACAGCUCCCAUCAUGCACAGCACUCUCCUGGUGCUCUACUUCCUCUUCGUAGCUUUACACCCACUGGAGAAGGAGAGGGUUGCAUGGUGCCAUUCACACGCAAACUAUGCUGUACCGACCUUGAGCCAUGAGAACAGGCAGAAAGAGAAAACCAAGAAUUUGAAGUUAAUAUUUUCCUGCCUUCUUCUGAAACCAAAUCAUUGUUAG